Molecule: long non-coding RNA, 455 nt
Filed under: Manihot esculenta (cassava)
Lineage: Eukaryota; Viridiplantae; Streptophyta; Magnoliopsida; Malpighiales; Euphorbiaceae
Description: long non-coding RNA (MESC_LNC012630)
Source: RNAcentral
UUUCGGCUGCCAAAGGUGCCCCCGAAGGUUAGUAAGAGGACUUUCGGCCGCCGAAGGUAGAAGAUUCGGCCGCCGAAAGUAUGUGAGUUUCAUCUCUGGACAGGACUUUCGGCCGCCGAACCUGCCGCCGAAAGUGCUCUGUCCAGCCUUCUUAUGCAUGCUAUGUGUGAUUGUUUUAGGAUCUUUUAGAGGGCUUUUGGGGGAGUUUAUAGAGAUGUUCUAGAGUUGGUUUGGUCCCUCAUAUGUGUCCAUCUGUGUAGGAACAGAUCAGAGGAACCAGAGUGGUCAGCAGUGAGCACUGCUACAGAACCUGCAGAGUUUAUACAGAGUCAGCCAGAGGUGAGUGGAACUAAACUAAAUCUUUUAAAUUGAGAAAUUAAAUGUUUUAUCAUGUUUCAUGCAUCAUGAAUAUGUAUAGGUUGUUGCACUAGAACCACGAAGAUGUUGCAUUGCAU